ACAUGGCCUGUUUCCAUUCUCAUCGGCACCCUGGGCGGGCGAAGGAAAGGCUUUCGGAGGGGGAGGGUAAGGGGUUCGUCGUCUCCUACUCUGUUCGAAGGACUCCCGGAUGGAGGAGAUCACGGAAGGCGUGAACAAUCUCCACGUCACCGCCGCCGAUUCCCACAAGAAGAAUCGGAUCCAGGUGUCCAACACGAAGAAGCCCCUCUUCUUCUACGUCAACCUUGCCAAGAGGUAUAUGCAGCAAUACAAUGAAGUUGAGCUGUCAGCUCUUGGAAUGGCAAUUGCAACUGUUGUCACUAUCACGGAAAUUCUGAAAAACAAUGGCCUAGCUAUCGAGAAGAAGAUCACAACAUCAACCGUUGAUGUUAAGGAUGAAUCUAGGGGGGGUCGGCCCAUGCAAAAAGCAAAGAUUGAGAUAUUGUUGGGCAAGACAGAGAACUUCGAUGAAUUGAUGGCUUCCGCGGCUGAGGAAAGGGAUGUGGGAGAUGGUGAGGAGCAAAGCUGAAAGUAUUCGAGCCUUUGGUGGUGCAUCGGGUUUACUCUUUACUUGCUUUCCUGCUCGAUAGAUGGUAGUUUGUUAUGAAGUGAGAAUACAACAUUAAGCGUGCUUUUUCGGAGUUUGCAAUUUUCGUGCCCGGUAGUAGUGUUAGCCCCCUGUUCCCUUAAUUUUCUUGGUUCUUCCUAGGUGCUGGAUUUACCAAGGAAGACGUGCUGUUGGAAAUUAAAGCUACAUAUUAAAGCAGCCUGUUACUUCGACGCCCAGCUUUGUGAAGUCUCCUUCAGUUGUGUGCUUCAAACUUGCGCCUAAUUGCUUGGGAACGUCUGAUAUGUGCCCCAUGUUUGAGAUAUCUUACAACAAGUCUUUUGCCUGCGGAAUGUAAAGUCAAGUCACUUAUGAUGUAAUGGUGUCAAAAUAUGCCUUGAACAAUAACUAAAGGUUCAUCCCAAGCAUCUUUCUAAUCCAAUCGUAUAUUAAGAAAA
Musa acuminata subsp. malaccensis (wild Malaysian banana) is the source of this 984-nucleotide RNA transcript. RefSeq lists it as uncharacterized. NCBI's taxonomy places the organism in Eukaryota, Viridiplantae, Streptophyta, Magnoliopsida, Zingiberales, Musaceae. The record is from RefSeq and is a predicted model, not a curated record.